GCUUCAAAUUUUCCUUAAUCUUUCCUUAUUAUUUAAUUUUUUUUAUAACAAAACCUUUUGUUUUAAAAAAAAAACUUUAACUUCUUAACCUUCUCUGCUAGGGUUUCACCCAAACCUCAUGUUGCCGCCGGACCAUCUCCACUUCUGGUGGCUUACAGCGCGCACGCAGGCCUGGUACGGAGGCACUAGGUGGUCGUACGGUGCUGCGCUGGCGGUGAGGACGAAGGGCUGCUUGGUGGCUACUGCGGCGCCUAGUAGAAGCCCUAGGGUUCUGAGUGUUUAACGUUUUUGGGCUUGUCGGGCCGUGUAAUUUUGGGCUAGGUUUUAGGUUUUUUUUUUGGGCCGUAUCGGGUCAACGUAAUUGGGUUUUGUAACUGAGCUGUUAAGGGACUGUUUAAAAUUGGACUCUAUAUUUUAUUUGGUUUUAUCAUGA
Molecule: long non-coding RNA, 433 nt
Organism: Gossypium arboreum
Lineage: Eukaryota; Viridiplantae; Streptophyta; Magnoliopsida; Malvales; Malvaceae
Exons: 2
Source: RefSeq, a predicted model, not a curated record